AGCUUUGCACAGUGGCAGUAUCGUAGCCAAUGAGGUUUAUCCGAGGCGCGAUUAUUGCUAAUUGAAUAAAGAAGUUUGAAUAUUCAAAUAUUUUGAAUAUUCAAAAUUUUGACUAUUUCGAAUA
Molecule: small nuclear RNA, 124 nt
Filed under: Neogale vison (American mink)
Lineage: Eukaryota; Metazoa; Chordata; Mammalia; Carnivora; Mustelidae
Description: Neovison vison (American mink) U4 spliceosomal RNA (ENSNVIG00000003271.1)
Rfam family: U4 spliceosomal RNA
About the family: U4 small nuclear RNA (U4 snRNA) is a component of the major U2-dependent spliceosome. The structure of U4 snRNA from yeast and human has been reported.
Source: RNAcentral